This 460-nucleotide ribosomal RNA is filed under the name uncultured bacterium. RNAcentral describes it as "partial 16S ribosomal RNA". It matches the Rfam family "Bacterial small subunit ribosomal RNA", at positions 338 to 795 of the family's 1533-position model. The record is from RNAcentral.
CCUACGGGAGGCAGCAGUGAGGAAUAUUGGUCAAUGGGCUUACGCCUGAACCAGCCAAGUCGCGUGAGGGAAGACUGCCCUAUGGGUUGUAAACCUCUUUUGUCAGGGAGCAAUUGGCGCUACGUGUAGCGUUAUCGAGAGUACCUGAAGAAAAAGCAUCGGCUAACUACGUGCCAGCAGCCGCGGUAAUACGGAGGAUGCGAGCGGUAUCCGGAUUUAUUGGGUUUAAAGGGUGCGUAGGCGGAAUGCUAAGUCAGCGGUAAAAUCGCGGGGCUCAACCUCGCCCCGCCGUUGAAACUAGCGUACUAGAGUGAGAUAGAAGUAAGCGGAAUGCGUGGUGAAGCGGUGAAAUGCAUAGAUAUCACGAAGAACACCGAUGGCGAAGGCAGCAUACCGGCUCCAAACUGACGCUGAAGGACGAAAGCGUGGGGAGCGAACAGGAUUAGAUACCCUGGUAGUC